Molecule: long non-coding RNA, 1411 nt
Organism: Cyprinus carpio carpio
Lineage: Eukaryota; Metazoa; Chordata; Actinopteri; Cypriniformes; Cyprinidae
Source: Ensembl
GUAAAACAAGAUAAUUUUCACCUUUGGGUAGGGCUGGGCAUCCGAUGCUUUUUAGGCACUGAGCAAAUUGCCUCAAAACAAUUGAGUUUCAAAAAAUAUAUAUUUUUGUUCGAUACCAAAUUUAAUACUUCAGUGUCAGUGAAACCGUAAGCAUGCUGUCACAGUUAUGGAUUUUUGUUCUUUAUGAGUUUCCUUAUUUGGUCAUGUUCAUUUUCUUGUUUAGUUAAUUAAUUAGCCCCACACCUGUUUCUGUUUCCAUCUGAUUACAUUCCCAGUGUUUAAAAGUCUGUGUUCUACAUUAUUCCUUUGUCCGCUAUUGAUGUUCAUUUAUUUGGAUUUGUGUUUGGAUAUGCCCUUUUUUCGCCUGUGAAUUAUCAAAAGAACUAUUUAGCUAUUUCCUUUUUCGUGCUUGAUGUGCCCAAAUCAAGUGCUGGUGAUUGCCUUUGGCGAGGCAUCAAGGGGUUUAAGAGUUUGAAAAAUUCAGGAAUCAGUAUCCAAGUCAAGAACAACCUCCUGGACAGUAACUAGUCUGGUUUUAAAAGCAGCCACUGAACUGAGACUGCCCUGCUCUUGGUUAUUAAAGCUCUGUGACUUGCAAGAGCAGCUUCAAAGUCAUCUGUACUCCUUUUGCUGGAGUCUUUGUCUGUGGCUUUUGGCACAGUUAUCCACCUGAUUGUCCUGUCAACCCUCUUGACAAAGCGUGUCUCAGGAACCACACUCCAGUGGUUCAAGUUUUAACUCUCAGCUGGAUGUGUUGACGGUCACUGCUCACAUCUCUGCCUCCUGGAUAGAAAUGUCUUGCUGGAUGUUGAAUGACCAUCAGCUCAACCUUGCCAAGACAGGACUGCUCAUGUUUUGCACUUCCAGAUCAUUGCAGUGGCCCGAUCCUGCAGAUUUGCCCUGUAUAACAUUAGCAAGAUCAGACCCUUCCUUACGGGGCUGCUACAGAACUCCUUGUCCGAGCUCUUGUUCUCUCCAUACUGGACUAUUGUACUGCUCUCUUGGCAGACUUUGCAGCAUGUACUACCAAGCUUCUGCAACUAAUCCAGUAUGUGGCACUGCAAGUGGUCUUUAACGAGUUGAAGAGUGCACGUCACACACCUUAUCACUUUGAAGAGGUACAAAUUCACUUUCACAGACCAUUUCUUUGACUGUUUGUUGCUGUUGUAAUAAACUGCCUAACUCUGCUCAUUUUCAAGAAAUGGCCAAAAAUGCAUUUUUUUUUUCAUGAACACUUGAGACACUAAAGGGAUAGUUCACCCACAAAUGAAAAUGACCAUGAUUUACUCACUCCCAAGCCAUCCUUUGUGCAUAUGACUUUUCUUUCAUAAAAACACAGUCAGAGUUAUCAAUAAACAUCUUGGCUCUUCCGGACUUUAUAAUGGCAGUGAAUGGCUGCCAUGAAUUUGAA